RNAcentral lists this ribosomal RNA (253 nucleotides) under uncultured bacterium. RNAcentral describes it as "partial 16S ribosomal RNA". It matches the Rfam family "Bacterial small subunit ribosomal RNA", at positions 524 to 776 of the family's 1533-position model. The record is from RNAcentral.
UACGUAGGUGGCAAGCGUUGUCCGGAUUUACUGGGUGUAAAGGGCGUGCAGCCGGGAAGACAAGUCAGAUGUGAAAUCCCGCGGCUCAACCGCGGAACUGCAUUUGAAACUGUUUUUCUUGAGUACCGGAGAGGUCAUCGGAAUUCCUUGUGUAGCGGUGAAAUGCGUAGAUAUAAGGAAGAACACCAGUGGCGAAGGCGGAUGACUGGACGGCAGCUGACGGUGAGGCGCGAAAGCGUGGGGAGCAAACAGG